GGAUACUUACUAAAACAAUAUAUGAAAGUAAUGAGAAAGUGGCCACUUUCAUGAGUAAAUCAUAUAAGUUUUUACUAUUUCUUUUCCAUAUGGGGUGCUAGUAAACAUGUCGCUUUUGCCUGGUUUCUUUUAACGCAGAGAAAAAUCCAAGUGAGCUCCAAGCGAAGCAAAAUUCCUCACUACAAAUCACAUGAGAAUUUUCACUCCGCUUAUUGGCCAGAUGGAUUUGCGGAAGGAGCAAUAACAGUAAACUACAGCAAGAAGGUGCUGUGUUCUGGACAUUUGGAGAACAUGGAAGAUUUUGGGCUUUUUUUUUCACAGCUAAUUGCUAGCCCAUACAGACCUUUGCACAUCUAUAAACAAACUGCUCUGUAGUUCAUUUGGAGCCGCACUGAGACCAACAUCUUCAAAGGGUCUCGAAUUGGUUGUUUUUGUCCACACCUGCGUGCGAUUAUUGUGUUCACAAUCUAUAAAAGUGAACCACACCAAGGGGAAAAACAAACCAGAGUUCGGUUUUAAACAUCGGUUAGGGACUAUAGUGGAUAUCUAGAAGGUAUCUUUGGACCGCUUCCCACUUGUUUAAGAGAAGUUGCCUUGAGCAGGACAAAGGGGUAGCUGUCGAAGCAGUUUUUCAUAAAAAUCCAGGGUGUGCAGACGAUACUAUUCCAGUAGUUGCUGAAGUGCUGAAUGGAAGGUGAUCCUGAUAAUUAAGAGGACAUUUAUUAGCCCAGUUUUGCUCUUGGACGAGUGCUUCAGGGUUCCACGAUUAGUUUAAUUAAAAUAAGCUGAUUGGAACAUGAGCUGAUGAUGUCAUUCAGAGGACAUUUAGUAGCCUAGCACUAUCUCAAAAGUUGACAUCCCAUCUGAAAUCAAUAAAGUUUGAAUUAGGCUUAUAUUAUAAAAUAUUAUAUAUAAUAUUUUACACUGGGGCUCAUAUUCUGUUGCCCUUUAGUCGAGGCAACACAAAGGUCUAUCACCGAAGUUUUCUUUCCAAGACAGUAUUUACCAAAGCAUAGGAAAUACUAACUAGAUUUAGCCCUCUGUAACUACCGAUUGCAUGUAUUUAGCUGUUGAUUCACAUAAACGUAGAGACUAUAAAGGGGAUGGAUAUAAAAUUAAAUCAUAUUUUUUAUAUUCAGUGAUGUAAUCCAGCAUAUUGGCGAUAAACAUUAGGUUUGAUUGAAGGCUGAUUGGCUAUUUGUGACUGAUGUAAUUACUGGGUUAAUUGUUUUUAGAUUUGUGCCUGAUCAACAUUCAAGACACCAAAUGUGACAUAAUUAACUAAUCUCUAAAGGCGUUUUUAUGAGGAUAAGUGUACUGAACAGAGUGAUACUUGGCUUCAUUCAUGGAAAACGUGACUGCACAAUGUCCUACACCUGCACAUAAAGCAACCCACCUGCACUGGUCAGCUUUGGCUUUUAUUAGAAAUCACAUGAGCAUACAUUCCUUUCCGAUGCUUUGUUAUAUAGUGUUACUCUAUGUAUUGCGCCGGUUUGGACAGUGGGACAUGCAGCUAAAGCUGUCAAGCUCACAUUACCAUGAAAGCCACUGUUGUUUAGAAAGAAUAGUGUAGGAUCUUUUUCAAGCUACAGCCACACACAAAUGAAAGGAAAUUUUUAUCAGUCAGCAAAGUGGAAAAGUAACUGAUUGAUUUAAGAUGACUUGAGGUAAUACGUUAAAUCAAGCACAAAAGCACAUUGCGUGUCAGGGGCCGUGAAUUCAUUUCUUUUGUACAACUCUCACAGCGUGUUGUCAGCUAAGGACUGCCCGGCAUAGUGUCACGUUUGUUAGUGGUCAGUGUGGUUUUUGCAGGGCUGGCUCAUCCUUUAUUUUCUUUCCUUGUCUGCCUUUCCUGCAAAAGGAAACGAUGCAGACCAAAUAUUGCUGUUGUGCAGUACUAAGUUCAUAACAAUAGGGAUCCAUGCAGCCGUUUCUACUUAGAUGUUUGUCUUGUCUCAGUUCCUCUUAACUCAGUGGCUGUUCAAAAGAAAAGGGAUUUGUGUUGUUGUCGUGCUCGUAUUUUAGUAACAUAUUUUAAUACUGUCUAAAAAAGCUAACACAUUUAAAAGCUACAGAUUUAUGAUUUUAUUGCUACUUUAGCAAAUGUUUUAAGAGGCAAGUCUUGCUAUUAUCGUCUAUCCCAGUUCCAUCAAUAUAGGAAGUUAGUAAGUAACUGUAUCCUGUACUUUAAAGCUGGCAAAAGAGUUUAAGUGAGCUGGUAGAUGGAGUGAAAACUGUGGGUGUGGGUAAUCAGGUGAAGUUUCUCUGCCUUUUCCCCAGUAAUUGGUGUUACAUAAUCACGACUAUUGUUUAGGUUCUCUUUUGUGUUGGCUCCUGGCCAGUGUCUGGCUUUCUGUUCCUGCUGCCUAGGACUAUUUGACAAAUCGCUUAUUUUGAAAGCCGUAAUAGAUAAAGUUUUGCAGCUAAUUGGCCCCCCAAUGUAAUUACAGUGCAAAAAAAAAGACAA
Long non-coding RNA from Haplochromis burtoni (Burton's mouthbrooder), 2467 nucleotides. RefSeq lists it as uncharacterized. The record is from RefSeq and is a predicted model, not a curated record. The transcript is spliced from 2 exons. NCBI's taxonomy places the organism in Eukaryota, Metazoa, Chordata, Actinopteri, Cichliformes, Cichlidae.